GAACAGGGAAAGAUAGAGAGUGGAGAGGGGAGGAAGGUGGAGACCGAAGGAGAUAACAGGCACGAGUUAUACGGAUGGAUAGAUGGAAGGGCAGGAUGGUAGUAGGGAUAAAGGAAGGAGAGAAAUAAGUGGUAUAGGACGCGACACGACACAACGCGUGGCGGCAGUCGGCAACGGCUACGGGAUACGGCUACGGCGACAGCGACGGCAACGGCGGUGGUAGCAACGACACGACAACGGAACGAAGACGCGCGCAAACCUUACAAUACGAGAGAAGGAGACGAACAUCCGAGUGUGGCUUACGGGAAACUGGGGUUCUCGAGAACGGGAUUCGACCGCACCGAUAUGCGCGGAACGUUAGUCAGCCUCUCACACGCUCUCUCUCUCUCUCUCUCUCUCUUUCUCUCUAUCCCUCCUUGUUUCCUUUCCUGAUACGUCUACUAUCAAUCCUUCUCUCUCCCUCUCUUUUCUUUCUCUCCCCCUCUUUCUCAACGAAACUGCCGAUAGACUGCAGCGCUAUCUGUCGACGACGCGCUAAUCUAAAACAUAGCCACCAAUCUCUAUUGCAAGACCAGUAGCACGCGCAUCGAAUUAUCGACUUUUCAUUGGCUCAACGUUACCUUUCUUUGACCAAUCAACGUUUACCAUUACCACUCAAUAAACUUAUUUUAUAAUA
This is a long non-coding RNA of Polistes dominula (European paper wasp), 676 nucleotides long. The record is from RefSeq and is a predicted model, not a curated record. Lineage: Eukaryota; Metazoa; Arthropoda; Insecta; Hymenoptera; Vespidae.